UUUCCGUAGGUGAACCUGCGGAAGGAUCAUUACAGAGUUCAUGCCCUCACGGGUAGAUCUCCCACCCUUGAAUAUUUAUACCUUAGUUGCUUUGGCAGGCCGUGGAAACACCAUGGGCUCCGGCUUAUGCGUGCCUGCCAGAGGAAACAAACUCUGUUUUUAGUGAUGUCUGAGUACUAUAUAAUAGUUAAGACUUUCAACAACGGAUCUCUUGGUUCUG
RNAcentral lists this unclassified non-coding RNA (220 nucleotides) under plant metagenome. Its description in RNAcentral is "partial contains small subunit ribosomal RNA, internal transcribed spacer 1, and 5.8S ribosomal RNA". The record is from RNAcentral.